Thalassophryne amazonica is the source of this 582-nucleotide long non-coding RNA. RefSeq lists it as uncharacterized. The record is from RefSeq and is a predicted model, not a curated record. Lineage: Eukaryota; Metazoa; Chordata; Actinopteri; Batrachoidiformes; Batrachoididae. The transcript is spliced from 3 exons.
GUUCCAUUGUGGAGGAAAUGAGUCUGGUCUUUUGGCCUGUGGAAGCUCAGGGUCAGACAGAAACUCCUGCUCACCUGGUAAAGCUGUUGGACUCACCUGCUCAGAGCCUGUCAGGUUGGUGGGAGGAGCCAGUCGAUGUGCUGCUAUAGUGGAGGUUAAAGUCCAGGAAGAAUGGAGACCAGUGGUGAAUGAUGGCAGCUGGAUCCUGAAGACAGCAGAUGUGGUGUAUCGAGAUCUGGACUGUGGCUCUGCUGUUUAUACAAAAAGGAGAGAUGUUUCCUCACACAGACCUGUGUGGAGGAUCGGAUCUGAGUGUAUUGAGUCUGGAUCUGCACUGAGGGAAUGUGAGACAAUUUCAGCUUUUUCUUCCUCCAGCCAUCAGAUCACCUGUUCAGAAUCUGUCAGACUGGUUAAUGGGUCCAGUCUGUGUUCAGGCAGACUGGAGGUGAAGUUGAACCAGUCCUGGUCCUCAGUGUGUGAAGAUGACUUUGACCAGCAGGAUGCACAGGUGGUCUGCAGGGAGCUGGGCUGUGGGCCUCCUACAGUCCUCCAGGGGGCGCUCUAUGAAGAAAUAGAGCCUCC